RNAcentral lists this unclassified non-coding RNA (323 nucleotides) under fungal sp. Its description in RNAcentral is "partial internal transcribed spacer region". The stretch from base 1 to 46 matches the Rfam family "Eukaryotic small subunit ribosomal RNA", at positions 1786 to 1831 of the family's 1831-position model. Lineage: Eukaryota; Fungi. The record is from RNAcentral.
AAGUCGUAACAAGGUAACCGUAGGUGAACCUGCGGUUGGAUCAUUAAAAAAUGUUUGGUCUUGUACCAAAUGAACACCUGUGUGCACCAAAUGACUGUUUUUGGUAGUUCGAGUUGCUCCUCGGGACUCAACACCCCGAGGUGCCUACCGCUGCCCGAUUAGGUGGACUGGUUUUACAACCUGGGCACCGUCAUUGGGCAACGCGCGGUUGGGCUACCGACCAUUUGAACAAACAUUUUGAUUUUUUUGUCUGAACUUUUAAGAUUUAAUCUUUGAUGAUUAAUGAUUAAUUACAACUUUUGACAACGGAUCUCUUGGUUCUC